UGUAUUAAAACUUUCAACAACGGAUCUCUUGGCUCUAGCAUCGAUGAAGAACGCAGCGAAAUGCGAUAAGUAAUGUGAAUUGCAGAAUUCAGUGAAUCAUCGAAUCUUUGAACGCACAUUGCGCCCAGCAGUACUCUGCUGGGCAUGCCUGUCCGAGCGUCAUUUCACCACUCAAGCUAUGCUU
RNAcentral lists this ribosomal RNA (184 nucleotides) under Huntiella moniliformopsis. RNAcentral describes it as "5.8S ribosomal RNA". The stretch from base 9 to 162 matches the Rfam family "5.8S ribosomal RNA". From Rfam's summary of the family: 5.8S ribosomal RNA (5.8S rRNA) is a component of the large subunit of the eukaryotic ribosome. It is transcribed by RNA polymerase I as part of the 45S precursor that also contains 18S and 28S rRNA. Functionally, it is thought that 5.8S rRNA may be involved in ribosome translocation. Lineage: Eukaryota; Fungi; Ascomycota; Sordariomycetes; Microascales; Ceratocystidaceae. The record is from RNAcentral.